Molecule: non-coding RNA, 1229 nt
Organism: Camellia sinensis
Lineage: Eukaryota; Viridiplantae; Streptophyta; Magnoliopsida; Ericales; Theaceae
Source: RefSeq, a predicted model, not a curated record
CUCCAAACUCAAGAUGCUUAUCCUCCUUGAGUUUGAGGGGGAUGUUAAUGUAUAUAUGGUAUAUAUUCCUACAUAUAUUAGGUAUUGCCAUAGUUAGGUCUCUUAUAGGAUACUCUUUCUCAUUGUUAGAUUUCUAGUAGGAUACUAUUUCUUAGUUUAUAUAUACAGGCCUUCUAUGGUAUUCAAUACAAUUCAUUCAAUACAAUACAUAUUAUUUUUUUUCUCUCUCUACUAUUCUAACACUAAUUCCUAGUAGCUUAAGCUUUUGGGCUAAUUAGUGACUUGACAAGAUCAUGUUCAGAGAUUAUGAUCGUGUAGCUAACCUUACAUACGGAGAUGCUUUGUGUACAAUCAAAUUACUAGUAUUAUUCAUGGCUUCAUAAAUUUCAUAUUAUGGCCUUUUGUUCCUUGUCCUUAAAAAUGGUUUCAAAUAUCCUGUUUUGGAAAUUAUGGAUCCACUUAUCAAUAUAUCCCAUCUCUCUGUCUUUGAGCUUAUUUUGCUGAUGUUUUGGGUCAUUGUAGUUAAUGUAAAAAUAAACUCCUUUUUUCCUUGUAGAAAGUGCAAAACGAGCUGCUGGACGUAUACAGCACCCAAUUACUUGAAAUGGAGAAUUCUAGAUGCCGUGUUUUGCUUAGAGAUGAUAAGGUAGAGGAUCUCUCUACGAUGUAUAGACUAUGCCAUAAAAUUCCUAAAGCUUUGGAACCAGUUGCUAAUAUAUUUAAACAGCAUGUUACUGCUGAAGGUGUAUGAUUUGUCCUAUGUAGCAAAAGUUGUUAGAUAUAACAACACGGAAAUAUAACAUUCAUUUUUCAUUAGUCAUAAAAUAAAGAUGUAACUAAAAAAAAAAGAUCCUCACAAAUGGCUGUAACUUGAGCCGGAAGACUAUUCAUCAUUCUUUGUGAUACAAUCAAGAUUUGAGGACCAACUUUUGAGAACAGAAGGCACACAAUCAAGCGAAAGAAGCUGGUUUUUUUCAAGUUGCAUGAUUAAACAUAAUUUUUAAAUUUAGGUCAUUAUGUCUUUUAAGAGUCUUGUCACUAGGUGUAUUUUUGGGAGUUUUCUUAAUUGUUAGGAAACUGUGAUAUCUUUGAGGUGGCUACUAGUAGGAGGGGAACUGUAUAUAGACUUGGGCCCUCCGCUUUUCGCAAACUCUUUUGUUGUAUGUGUGGAUUUGGUGUUACAUAACAAACACCUUUUUUACCUGGCGCCCUCCUAUUUAAUGCUCCAA